CACGUAGGGGGCAAGCGUUGUCCGGAUUUAUUGGGCGUAAAGAGCUCGUAGGCGGCUUAGUAAGUCGGGUGUGAAACCUCCAGGCUCAACCUGGAGACGCCACCCGAUACUGCUGUGGCUAGAGUCCGGUAGGGGAGCGUGGAAUUCCUGGUGUAGCGGUGAAAUGCGCAGAUAUCAGGAGGAACACCAGCGGCGAAGGCGCUGCUCUGGGCCGGUACUGACGCUGAGGAGCGAAAGCGUGGAGAGCGAACAGG
Molecule: ribosomal RNA, 254 nt
Filed under: uncultured bacterium
Lineage: Bacteria
Description: partial 16S ribosomal RNA
Rfam family: Bacterial small subunit ribosomal RNA
Source: RNAcentral